This 263-nucleotide long non-coding RNA is filed under the name Lathyrus oleraceus (garden pea). Its description in RNAcentral is "Pisum sativum (pea) long non-coding RNA (PSAT_LNC006029)". Lineage: Eukaryota; Viridiplantae; Streptophyta; Magnoliopsida; Fabales; Fabaceae. The record is from RNAcentral.
UUCAUCUUCUUCUUCAUCUUUUUCUUUUUUUUGAUCAAUGAGUUAAAUAUUGUUGGUUAGCCUUGAUGUAUGGGAGGUUUAACCUUCCUUGAUUCAAAUCUAAUUCAUCUUGAUCAAAGAUCAAGUGAAUGGCUUUUCAUUAAGGAUAGGUUGCUUCUUGAUCAAGCAAAAAAACCUAAAUCAAUACAAGAUCAUUCUCAUUUUCUUUUGGCAUGGAAGUUGUAGGAGCUUGGCUUACUAGUCAAGGUCUCUAACUUGCGUUU